AGAGUUUGAUCCUGGCUCAGGAUGAACGCUACGGGGCAGGCUUAACACAUGCAAGUCGAGGGGCAGCGGGAUGUAGCAAUACAUUGCCGGCGACCGGCGCAAGGGUGCGUAACGCGUGAGCAACAUGCCCGUCACAGGAGGAUAAACCAUGGAAACGUGGCCUAAUACUCCAUAGUAUGUUUUGGAGGCAUCUCUAGGACAUUAAAGCUUCGGUGGCUGACGGAUUGGCUCGCGUGACAUUAGCUAGAUGGAGAGGUAACGGCUCACCAUGGCGACGAUGUCUAGGGGAACUGAGAGGUUAAUCCCCCACACUGGUACUGAGACACGGACCAGACUCCUACGGGAGGCAGCAGUGAGGAAUAUUGGACAAUGGAUGGAAAUCUGAUCCAGCCAUGCCGCGUGCAGGAUGACGGCCCUAUGGGUCUUAAACUGCUUUUGUAUGGGAGCAAUAAGUUCUACGCGUAGAGCGAUGAGAGUACCAUACGAAUAAGCAUCGGCUAACUCCGUGCCAGCAGCCGCGGU
RNAcentral lists this ribosomal RNA (522 nucleotides) under uncultured bacterium. Its description in RNAcentral is "bacterial SSU rRNA". It matches the Rfam family "Bacterial small subunit ribosomal RNA", at positions 8 to 521 of the family's 1533-position model. The record is from RNAcentral.